This 360-nucleotide ribosomal RNA is filed under the name Lomentospora prolificans. Its description in RNAcentral is "Scedosporium prolificans Eukaryotic small subunit ribosomal RNA". It matches the Rfam family "Eukaryotic small subunit ribosomal RNA", at positions 535 to 900 of the family's 1831-position model. Lineage: Eukaryota; Fungi; Ascomycota; Sordariomycetes; Microascales; Microascaceae. The record is from Rfam by way of RNAcentral.
UAACGAGGAACAAUUGGAGGGCAAGUCUGGUGCCAGCAGCCGCGGUAAUUCCAGCUCCAAUAGCGUAUAUUAAAGUUGUUGUGGUUAAAAAGCUCGUAGUUGAACCUUGGGCCUGGCUGGCCGGUCCCCCUCACCGGGUGCACUGAUCCAGCCGGGCCUUUCCCUCUGUGGAACCCCAUGGCCUUCACUGGCUGUGGCGGGGGAACAGGACUUUUACUUUGAAAAAAUUAGAGUGCUCCAGGCAGGCCUAUGCUCGAAUACAUUAGCAUGGAAUAAUAGAAUAGGACGGGGGGUUCUAUUUUUUUGGGUUCUUGGACCGCCGUAAGGGUUUAUAGGGACAGUCGGGGGGAUCCAGUUUCA